AGUGAACGCUGGCGGUAGGCCUAACACAUGCAAGUCGAACGGCAGCACAGUAAGAGCUUGCUCUUACGGGUGGCGAGUGGCGGACGGGUGAGGAAUACAUCGGAAUCUACUUUUUCGUGGGGGAUAACGUAGGGAAACUUACGCUAAUACCGCAUACGACCUACGGGUGAAAGCAGGGGAUCUUCGGACCGUGCGCGAUUGAAUUAGCCGAUGUCGGAUUAGUUAGUUGGCGGGGUAAAGGCCCACCAAGGCGACGAUCCGUAGCUGGUCUGAGAGGAUGAUCAGCCACACUGGAACUGAGACACGGUCCAGACUCCUACGGGAGGCAGCAGUGGGGAAUAUUGGACAAUGGGCGCAAGCCUGAUCCAGCCAUACCGCGUGGGUGAAGAAGGCCUUCGGGUUGUAAAGCCCUUUUGUUGGGAAAGAAAAGCAGCAGGUUAAUACCCCGCUGUUCUGACGGUACCCAAAGAAUAAGCACCGGCUAACUUCGUG
RNAcentral lists this ribosomal RNA (492 nucleotides) under uncultured bacterium. RNAcentral's name for it is "partial 16S ribosomal RNA". It matches the Rfam family "Bacterial small subunit ribosomal RNA", at positions 29 to 507 of the family's 1533-position model. The record is from RNAcentral.